This 345-nucleotide unclassified non-coding RNA is filed under the name soil metagenome. Its description in RNAcentral is "partial contains 5.8S ribosomal RNA, internal transcribed spacer 2, and large subunit ribosomal RNA". The stretch from base 1 to 121 matches the Rfam family "5.8S ribosomal RNA", at positions 35 to 154 of the family's 154-position model. The record is from RNAcentral.
GAUGAAGAACGCAGCGAAAUGCGAUAAGUAAUGCGAAUUGCAGAAUUUCCGUGAGUCAUCGAAUCUUUGAACGCACAUUGCGCCCACUGGUAUUCCGCUGGGCAUGCCUGUUCGAGCGUCAUUAUCCUCCCUCAAACCCCGGGUUUGGUGUUGGACCCAAGUUGUGUGAACAACUGGUCUCAAAGACAAUGACGGCGUCCGUGGGACCCUCGGUGCAACGAGCUUUUAGGAGCACGCAUCGAGUUGCAAGGACCUUCCGGGCCGGUCUCCUUUACCAUUUUACAAGGUUGACCUCGGAUCAGGUAGGAAUACCCGCUGAACUUAAGCAUAUCAAUAAGCGGAGGA